GAAUUUUGGGCAAUGGGCGAAAGUCUGAUGGAGCAACGCCGCGUGAGUGAAGAAGGUUUUCGGAUCGUAAAACUCUGUUGUAAGGGAAGAACACGUACGAGAGUCACUGCUCGUACCUUGACGGUACCUUCUUAGACAGCCACGGCUAACUACGUGCCAGCAGCCGCGGUAAUACGUAGGUGGCAAGCGUUGUCCGGAAUUACUGGGCGUAAAGCGCGCGCAGGCGGUUCUUUAAGUCUGAUGUGAAAGCCCACGGCUCAACCGUGGAGGGUCAUUGGAAACUGGAGAACUUGAGUACAGAAGAGGAAAGCGGAAUUCCACGUGUAGCGGUGAAAUGCGUAGAGAUGUGGAGGAACACCAGUGGCGAAGGCGGCUUUCUGGUCUGUAACUGACGCUGAGGCGCGAAAGCGUGGGGAGCAAACAGG
RNAcentral lists this ribosomal RNA (425 nucleotides) under uncultured bacterium. RNAcentral's name for it is "bacterial SSU rRNA". It matches the Rfam family "Bacterial small subunit ribosomal RNA", at positions 359 to 776 of the family's 1533-position model. The record is from RNAcentral.